UACGUAGGAUCCGAGCGUUGUCCGGAUUUACUGGGUGUAAAGGGUGCGCAGGCGGACUUAUAAGUCAGGGGUGAAAUCUCACAGCUUAACUGUGAAACUGCCUUUGAUACUGUAAGUCUUGGAUCCGGGAGAGAAUUGUGGAAUUCCGAGUGUAGCAGUGAAAUGUGUAGAUAUUCGGAAGAACACCAGUGGCGAAGGCAGCAAUUUGGCCCGGUAUCGACGCUCAGGCACGAAAGCAUGGGGAUCAAACAGG
Molecule: ribosomal RNA, 253 nt
Filed under: uncultured bacterium
Lineage: Bacteria
Description: partial 16S ribosomal RNA
Rfam family: Bacterial small subunit ribosomal RNA
Source: RNAcentral